Molecule: long non-coding RNA, 2880 nt
Filed under: Podarcis lilfordi (Lilford's wall lizard)
Lineage: Eukaryota; Metazoa; Chordata; Lepidosauria; Squamata; Lacertidae
Source: RNAcentral
GACUUCCGGUCGGCGCCAGCGUUUAAUGGCGGUCCUCGCUUCGAGCUCCGGAGGAGGACUGCUCCGCGAGUUCGGGUCUGACCCGCUACGGCGAGCGGGGGACCCCUAAAAUCACAGGCGCUGAAGCCUGUGAACAAGGAGACUCGGUGGGCACCUUUGCGCCCCGGUACUGUGAAAGAGCCUUUUAAAGGCUACGGAGCGGCAUCGGGGGUGAGCGCGGUGCUGAGAGUCGCAACCCAGCUCGUGGAGUGAAGCCGCAUCGCCAUGAACGGAGAGCGCCGAUUCCUUCCUGAACCAGAAAUUCGACUGUAAACCCCGUGAGUAAGACGGAGGGAUUGAACGGGACAUUUAAAUUUAAAUUCUGAAAUUUGGCUGAAAACGGGAAAGGCAUAAAUUAAGGAAGUCUGCCUCCCCGAUCUGCAUGGCAAUUAAAGCAACGAAAGAGUAAAGCUGCAUUUGAAAGAAAAUUAUCUUUGAGCUGUCAAACCUGACAUUUGACUUAAACUUCCCCCCAGUAAGCAGGAGAAGGGGGGAAGAAAACUGGACACUGUUAAUCUGCCUGAAAUUAACUGAGGAAAAAAACAUCUUCCACUGCCAAAUCCCCUGAACGGACUGCCUGAGUAAGGCACUGGGAAAGUGAACUGUCAGUUUAGACUGGAUACAAAGUUGGGGUUUUGUCUGAGACAAAGUUACGGGACUUUAAUGGAAUUACUUUGUUGAACUUGUGACUAUACUGAAAAAGUGCGACAGAAACUUUUACUGUGGACUCUUGGAUUUUUUGUUGAUUGCUCUAUGUUCCCUUGUUCUUUCUCUUUUCACUUGGAUACAAUUAAAUGCUCCCUCUAGAGGGUAUAAAGAGAAACUGUUAUAGUGAAAAAGAAACAGUGGGAUUUUCCACUUGCAAGUCUUUCCUGUGAGAACGACCUUGAGGAUAUGAGUGGUCCAGCAGAAGAGAUAACAACUAGAUCCAAAGCAAAACAGACACAAAAGAAAAGGGGCUCAAUAUCUGGCAUACCACCAGCUGCACAGGAAAAAGUGGCAACAGCAUCUAUGGAUUCAAUGACACAGGCACUGCUCAAAAUAAACCAAUCUUUAGAAGCACUGACAAAGCUAUCUACGGAAAAUUCCAAAAAAUUGACAGAACUGACAGCAAGAUUGGACUUGAAUACUGCAAGUGUAACAUCAAAUACAGAAUCUAUUAAUAAAUUAAUUCAAGAAAGUUCUGAAACACGAAAGAUUGCUGAAAGUGCAAAAAAAUACUGCAGAGGAGACAAGGGAGGAGCUUGUGCCGAUUACAAAAAAAGUGAAUGAACAUGAUGCAGCCCUAUCUUUGCUGGAAUUACAGAGAAAAGAGAGAAAUCUGAAAUUGAGAUUGGUUCCCGAGAGUGAGGGAGACAGCCUUGUGGACUUCCUUACACAGAACUUUAUGGAAUUUUGGCAAAAGGAGCUGCAGGAAGAAGAACUUGAAAUAACAACAGCUUUUCGGCUGGGCAGGAGGCAAGGUAAGAAGCCAAGGGAUUGUUUGAUCACAUUGAGAUCCAAAGGAGAAAGAGAUAAAAUAUUGAACUUGCAUUACCAAAAGGCAUUGGAGAUUGAAAAUAGUCAAGUACAAAUUUUUAAAGAUAUCCCUAAAUAUAUUUUGGAGGUGAGAGCCUUCUAUAAAGAUUUGGUCUACCUGCUGAAGAAAAAUAUCAUACCCUUCAGGUGGGAGUUUCCACAAGGAUUGUCUUUUACUUUCAAAGGAAGGAAGGUCAAAAUAAGAACAGUUCAAGAUAAAGAACAGUUUUUGGAGAGAUAUCAGGAGGACUUGCAGAAAGGAACAGUAGAAACAACAAUACAAGAAAAAGGAGUGACAGACAUUGCAAACUUGUCAUUUGGACUCAUACCACCAUCUGAAGAUGAACAAAAGCUAGGAGCAGUCGGUGGAACAGGUACUUAAUAACAAAAUGUCUCUGCAACUUCUUAGUUGGAAUUGUAAUGGUUUGAACCUUCCCGAAAAAGACGCCAAGUUUUUCAUAUUUUGAAAAGAGAACAAUUAGACCUAAUAUGUCUACAAGAGACCCAUGUGACCAGGACACAUAGGAAAUUAUUGGUAAACAAGAGACUUGGACAGGAAUUUAUUUCAUCAGACAAAGUUAAGAAAAGAGGCGUGGUGAUUUAUGCAAAAGAAAAAUUGGCUCCAAAGAUGAUAUUUAAAGAUGAACAAGGAAGAUACCUGGCAAUUGAAAUACAAGUUCAAGGAGAAAAAUCUUGAUAGUCGGAAUUUAUGCACCAAAUGACGGGAAGGCGGAAUUCUUUAAGAAGCUGCAUGAGACUUUAAUGGACUAUUUAGACUAUAGAGUAGUAAUGAUGGGAGACAUGAAUGGUGUAGUCUCCACAAAUAUGGACAAAGCACAAAGACAAGUAAUUUCCAAGGAAGGGAGACUACCAAAGACUUUUUUUGAAAUGACUGAAACUAUGGACUUGAUUGACAUUUGGAGAACAAGGAACCCUCUUGAGAGAGAGGGAACUUUUUCUCUGAAGCAAAAAUGACAUGGACAAGAAUUGACCAAAUUUGGGUAACUAGCAGUAUGGCGCCAAGGAUCAAAAAGGUAGAAAUCUGCUCAAAGACUUGCUCCGACCAUAAUGCUGUAAAGAUGGAGAUGAAACUAACAUCAACUGGAUCCUUUAGAUGGAGAAUGAAUGACACCCUAUUUAGAGAUGAAGAGAUUUAUAAGAAGGCCCAAAAAACAUUGAAAGAUUACUUUGAGAUAAAUUUGAGAACAGAAGUGGAAAAAAGAAUAAUCUGGGACGCAAGUAAGGCCGUGAUGCGAGGUUUCCUAAUACAACAGAACUCCAUAAAGAGGAAAAAUCAAAAUGAAAGGAAAGAAAAAAUUCUGG